CUGAUCCAGUCUUGUCCACUUUACGCUAUAAGGACAAAAGUAUUGGGACCCUCAAAAAGCAGGAAGUGAAGAAAAUGCUGAGUUUGCCGCUACAUCAGUUUCCACUCUUCUAGAUUCUGGAUGAUUUUGGCGUGGUUAUGUGGGGAGUUUUGUCUUUUCGUGAGGUCAAAGAGCAGGCCUGGUUAAGUUCUUCCACACCAAACUCAUCCAAGCAUGCCUUAAAGGAUCUCUGCAAACUGACAAGGGGCCUUCCUCAAAGUUGGACGCAUACAAUUGUCCAAAUCUUCCAUCCAUGCCUCCAUUUUCUGAGCCGCUUCUCCUCACAGCCCAUCCCAGCCAUCAUCGGGCAGGAGGCGGGCUACGCCCUGAACUGGUUGUCAGCCAAUCGCAGUGUUCAAAUCUUGUUAAGAUUAAGAUUGAGUGACAAUUGUAUUGUUGAAUUCAAUGAUUAACCAGUCCUCCACUCCUGUUGGUGGCAGUAGUCCGAAUUUAUCAUUAAAAAUGGAGACCUAAGCCAUGCAAUAUUAGGGGGGUUUGUUUGGACGUUUCACUUUUUCGUAACCAAAACAAAGCCUUAUCGUGAUCCCAACACCCACGUGUGUGUGUGUGUGCGCGCGUAGGUCAUUUAUAGCCGAGCAGCUCAUCAAUCUCAAUAGUGCGGAGCAGUGCAAAGAGCGGCUGUAACGACAGACGUGAUCACCAUUCAGUGGACGAGUGUAAACGGGAGGAGGGAAGAAAGAUGAUGAGGAGGAAGAGGUGAAGGAGCGAACGUCGUGAAAGGUGGCGGGGGAAAAGAAGGAUGGGAGUUCACAGAUAAACAAGUUCACGGCACUGGCCAUUAGAAAGAAUAUGGCUGCACACGCUGUUUUUAUACGGUCGUGUGGAUGACCGCAGCACUGUGGACGUUCAGGUAGUGCGUGGACGCACAACUGGUUUUUUGGUUUUUUUUUGAGGCGGGAACAAACAGGCGCACAUCAAAGGAGGGCCGAACGUUGAAAUGUGCAGCCGCGCGGUGUAUAUUUUGCCUGCCGCUCGCAGAGGCGGGUGGUAGCGACAGCAGCUGCGGGGAGACGUCACAUGCGCCAUUCCUCACACUUCAACAGCCAACGAGAGAGCGAUUUAUGGACGCGGGGAGAAGGACACAUAAACAGAAGCGGCGGCGCUGGAAUAAACAAAGGCUGGAGGAGAUGAUGAUGAAAAAGAAAGAAAGCAAGAGGAAAGACAAAUAUACAAAGGAGGAAGUGACAAUAACAUUAAAUAUUCAAACAUGAGACGGUUAAAUCAUUUUUUUUUUUUUUUUAAUAAAAGGAAUACAGAACCUCUGGCUUUUUCUUUAGCUUUUUCUGGCCGCAAUUGUUCACAAAGGAGUACAGCGUUCCUCAUACAUUCAUGGUUUGUUAUUCGCAAAUUCAACCAUUCGCAGGCUUUUUUGGAAACCUAUCUUGGUGCCAAGCUUCCUUUUGUCCAGCCAUAGCAUUGUCUAAUGUAAAAUGAGUGUGGAUUGUGCUCAUACGCAAAACUUCCUCCAGUACCCGUGCUGUGCGUCUAGUUUGCUCCGCUUGUAGGACCCUACAGCUAUUGUGAACCUACAGUACAGAACUACAUGCAACAUGGAGGUCCAGUGGUGUGGAAAAUUACGUUUGCUUCUUUUUAAUAAAGCAGCUGACCAAG
Long non-coding RNA from Phyllopteryx taeniolatus (common seadragon), 1671 nucleotides. RefSeq lists it as uncharacterized. NCBI's taxonomy places the organism in Eukaryota, Metazoa, Chordata, Actinopteri, Syngnathiformes, Syngnathidae. The transcript has 2 exons. The record is from RefSeq and is a predicted model, not a curated record.